AGCCCAAAAGCUCUCCAAUACCACCAAUGUCAAGCCCAAAGACUUCCAAGCCAAAACUCCAUGGAUCCUUGGUUUCUUCUCCUUCUUAGCCUUUGAUUUUCAUGGGUUCUCGAAGUAAUCAGAGUGCGCAAUGGAGCGGAGUUCGAGGAAUCACGAACCUUGAUGCCUUGCAUGUCUUACCCGGAUUUCGUAAAAGAUCAUGUUUUCACUUUCGCAUGUAAACAAAAGGUCGUAUGUACAAAAAAAAAAUGGAGAUUUUCCUGAUUAUAUUUUACUCUGAUUUAGGAAUCUAGCCUAUUAAAUGGGGGUAUUUAAAUCAAGUUUAUUUUC
Molecule: non-coding RNA, 330 nt
Organism: Erythranthe guttata (spotted monkey flower)
Lineage: Eukaryota; Viridiplantae; Streptophyta; Magnoliopsida; Lamiales; Phrymaceae
Source: RefSeq, a predicted model, not a curated record